Molecule: ribosomal RNA, 429 nt
Filed under: Verrucomicrobiota bacterium
Lineage: Bacteria; Pseudomonadati; Verrucomicrobiota
Description: Verrucomicrobia bacterium partial 16S ribosomal RNA
Rfam family: Bacterial small subunit ribosomal RNA
Source: RNAcentral
UAGGGAAUCUUCCGCAAUGGACGAAAGUCCGACGGAGCAACGCCGCGUGAGUGAAGAAGGAUUUCGGUUCGUAAAACUCUGUUGUUAGGGAAGAAAAAAUGUAUAGUAACUAUAUACAAAAGAGACGGUACCUAACCAGAAAGCCACGGCUAACUACGUGCCAGCAGCCGCGGUAAUACGUAGGUGGCAAGCGUUGUCCGGAAUUAUUGGGCGUAAAGCGCGCGCAGGUGGUUUAGAAAGUCUGAUGUGAAAGCCCACGGCUCAACCGUGGAGGGUCAUUGGAAACUAAUAAACUUGAGUGCAGGAGAGAAAAGUGGAAUUCCUAGUGUAGCGGUGAAAUGCGUAGAGAUUAGGAGGAACACCGGUGGCGAAGGCGGCUUUUUGGCCUGCAACUGACACUGAGGCGCGAAAGCGUGGGGAGCAAACAGG